This 253-nucleotide ribosomal RNA is filed under the name uncultured bacterium. Its description in RNAcentral is "partial 16S ribosomal RNA". It matches the Rfam family "Bacterial small subunit ribosomal RNA", at positions 524 to 776 of the family's 1533-position model. The record is from RNAcentral.
UACGGAGGGUGCAAGCGUUGCUCGGAAUCAUUGGGCGUAAAGCGUACGCAGGCUGUUCGUCAAGUCGGGUGUGAAAGCCCGGGGCUCAACCCCGGAACGGCGCCCGAAACUGACGAGCUUGAGUGCGGGAGAGGGAAGCGGAAUUCCUGGUGUAGAGGUGAAAUUCGUAGAUAUCAGGAGGAACACCGGUGGCGAAAGCGGCUUCCUGGCCCGACACUGACGCUCAUGUACGAAAGCGUGGGGAGCAAACAGG